RNAcentral lists this unclassified non-coding RNA (198 nucleotides) under uncultured fungus. RNAcentral's name for it is "sequence contains ITS1". The record is from RNAcentral. Lineage: Eukaryota; Fungi.
GUAUAUAUUACAUAGGCACAACAUUCUAAUGACAUACAAUUGGGGUAAAAUGAAGUAACAUAGACCUGGAAAGGUCUACAAAAAGUGCACAGGUGGAGAUAUAAAGAUGACAAGGCGUGCACAUGCUCCCUAGAGAGCCAGCAACAACCCGUCAGGUUUAUUUCAAUAAUGAUCCUUCCGCAGGUUCACCUACGGAAA